RNAcentral lists this ribosomal RNA (447 nucleotides) under uncultured bacterium. RNAcentral's name for it is "partial 16S ribosomal RNA". It matches the Rfam family "Bacterial small subunit ribosomal RNA", at positions 330 to 793 of the family's 1533-position model. The record is from RNAcentral.
UCCAGACUCCUACGGGAGGCAGCAGUGGGGAAUAUUGCACAAUGGGGGAAACCCCGAUGCAGCGACGCCGCGUGAGCGAUGAAGUAUUUCGGUAUGUAAAGCUCUCUCAGCAGGGAAGAAAAUGACGGUACCUGACUAAGAAGCCCCGGCUAACUACGUGCCAGCAGCCGCGGUAGUACGUAGGGGGCAAGCGUUAUCCGGAUUUACUGGGUGUAAAGGGCGUGUAGCCGGGCUGACAAGUCAGAUGUGAAAUCCGGGGGCUCAACCCCCGAACUGCAUUUGAAACUGUUGGUCUUGAGUAUCGGAGAGGCAGGCGGAAUUCCUAGUGUAGCGGUGAAAUGCGUAGAUAUUAGGAGGAACACCAGUGGCGAAGGCGACCUGCUGGACGACAACUGACGGUGAGGCGCGAAAGCGUGGGGAGCAAACAGGAUUAGAUACCCGUGUACG